RNAcentral lists this ribosomal RNA (510 nucleotides) under uncultured microorganism. RNAcentral describes it as "bacterial SSU rRNA". It matches the Rfam family "Bacterial small subunit ribosomal RNA", at positions 9 to 524 of the family's 1533-position model. The record is from RNAcentral.
GAGUUUGAUCGUGGCUCAGGAUAAACGCUGGCGGCGCACAUAAGACAUGCAAGUCGAACGAACUUAAUUUUAAUAUUUAUAUUAAAAAGCGGUUAGUGGCGGACUGGUGAGUAACGCGUAAGCAAUCUGCCUAUCAGGGGGGGAAUAACAGUGAGAAAUCAUUGCUAAUACCGCAUAUGCCAUAAGAAUCACAUGAUUCUAGUGGGAAAGGAGCAAUCCACUGAUAGAUGAGCUUGCGUCUGAUUAGCUAGUUGGUGGGAUAACGGCCUACCAAGGCGACGAUCAGUAGCCGGACUGAGAGGUUGAACGGCCACAUUGGGACUGAGAUACGGCCCAGACUCCUACGGGAGGCAGCAGUCGGGAAUAUUGCGCAAUGGAGGAAACUCUGACGCAGUGACGCCGCGUAUAGGAAGAAGGUUUUCGGAUUGUAAACUAUUGUCGUUAGGGAAGAUAAAAGACAGUACCUAAGGAGGAAGCUCCGGCUAACUACGUGCCAGCCGCCGCAGUAAC